Molecule: ribosomal RNA, 449 nt
Filed under: uncultured bacterium
Lineage: Bacteria
Description: partial 16S ribosomal RNA
Rfam family: Bacterial small subunit ribosomal RNA
Source: RNAcentral
AACGAACGCUGGCGGCAUGCCUAACACAUGCAAGUCGAACGAAGGCUUCGGCCUUAGUGGCGCACGGGUGAGUAACGCGUGGGAAACUGCCUAUUGGUGGGGAAUAACGACGGGAAACUGUCGCUAAUACCGCAUAAGCCCUUCGGGGGAAAGAUUUAUCGCCGAUAGAUGUGCCCGCGUCCGAUUAGCUAGUUGGUGAGGUAAUGGCUCACCAAGGCGACGACCGGUAGCUGGUCUGAGAGGAUGAUCAGCCACACUGGGACUGAGACACGGCCCAGACUCCUACGGGAGGCAGCAGUGGGGAAGAUUGGACAAUGGGCGAAAGCCUGAUCCAGCAAUGCCGCGUGAGUGAUGAAGGCCUUAGGGUUGUAAAGCUCUUUCGGGUGGGACGAUGAUGACGGUACCACCAGAAGAAGCCCCGGCUAACUUCGUGCCAGCCGCCGCAGUAA